GGAUUGUGGCUCAGUGGUAGAGUGCUUGCCUAGCAUGCAUGAGACACUAGAUUCCAUCCCUAGCACCA
Molecule: transfer RNA, 68 nt
Filed under: Marmota monax (woodchuck)
Lineage: Eukaryota; Metazoa; Chordata; Mammalia; Rodentia; Sciuridae
Description: tRNA.Ala
Rfam family: tRNA (bases 5-65)
About the family: Transfer RNA (tRNA) molecules are approximately 80 nucleotides in length. Their secondary structure includes four short double-helical elements and three loops (D, anti-codon, and T loops). Further hydrogen bonds mediate the characteristic L-shaped molecular structure. tRNAs have two regions of fundamental functional importance: the anti-codon, which is responsible for specific mRNA codon recognition, and the 3' end, to which the tRNAs corresponding amino acid is attached (by aminoacyl-tRNA synthetases). tRNAs cope with the degeneracy of the genetic code in two manners: having more than one tRNA (with a specific anti-codon) for a particular amino acid; and 'wobble' base-pairing, i.e. permitting non-standard base-pairing at the 3rd anti-codon position.
Source: RNAcentral